This 213-nucleotide ribosomal RNA is filed under the name Lactobacillus letivazi. RNAcentral's name for it is "partial 23S ribosomal RNA". The stretch from base 1 to 54 matches the Rfam family "tRNA", at positions 18 to 71 of the family's 71-position model. The record is from RNAcentral. Lineage: Bacteria; Bacillati; Bacillota; Bacilli; Lactobacillales; Lactobacillaceae.
GAGAGCACCUGCUUUGCAAGCAGGAGGUCAUCGGUUCGAUCCCGUUAACCUCCAUAGAUGAAGAAAUUCAUCGAACUCGUACCUUGAAAACUGGAUAUUAAGAAAUAAAGAAACACCGAAAACUGCGCGACAGAUUUAGAAAUCUAAAUUUUGUCAGAUUAAGUUAUAAAGGGCGCAUGGUGGAUGCCUAGGCACUARRAGCCGAUGAAGGAC